This 253-nucleotide ribosomal RNA is filed under the name uncultured bacterium. RNAcentral's name for it is "partial 16S ribosomal RNA". It matches the Rfam family "Bacterial small subunit ribosomal RNA", at positions 524 to 776 of the family's 1533-position model. The record is from RNAcentral.
GACGAAGGGGGCUAGCGUUGUUCGGAAUUACUGGGCGUAAAGGGCGCGUAGGCGGUUUGUUAAGUCAGGCGUGAAAGCCCUGGGCUCAACCUGGGAGGUGCGCUUGAUACUGGCAAGCUUGAGUGCAGGAGAGGAUGGUGGAAUUCCCAGUGUAGAGGUGAAAUUCGUAGAUAUUGGGAAGAACACCGGUGGCGAAGGCGGCCAUCUGGACUGCAACUGACGCUGAGGCGCGAAAGCGUGGGGAGCAAACAGG